RNAcentral lists this ribosomal RNA (537 nucleotides) under Streptococcus sinensis. RNAcentral describes it as "bacterial SSU rRNA". It matches the Rfam family "Bacterial small subunit ribosomal RNA", at positions 421 to 950 of the family's 1533-position model. Lineage: Bacteria; Bacillati; Bacillota; Bacilli; Lactobacillales; Streptococcaceae. The record is from RNAcentral.
GAUCGUAAAGCUCUGUUGUAAGAGAAGAACGAGUGUGAGAGUGGAAAGUUCACACUGUGACGGUAACUUACCAGAAAGGGACGGCUAACUACGUGCCAGCAGCCGCGGUAAUACGUAGGUCCCGAGCGUUGUCCGGAUUUAUUGGGCGUAAAGCGAGCGCAGGCGGUUAGAUAAGUCUGAAGUUAAAGGCUGUGGCUUAACCAUAGUACGCUUUGGAAACUGUUUAACUUGAGUGCAGAAGGGGAGAGUGGAAUUCCAUGUGUAGCGGUGAAAUGCGUAGAUAUAUGGAGGAACACCGGUGGCGAAAGCGGCUCUCUGGUCUGUAACUGACGCUGAGGCUCGAAAGCGUGGGGAGCAAACAGGAUUAGAUACCCUGGUAGUCCACGCCGUAAACGAUGAGUGCUAGGUGUUGGGUCCUUUCCGGGACUCAGUGCCGCAGCUAACGCAUUAAGCACUCCGCCUGGGGAGUACGACCGCAAGUUGAAACUCAAAGGAAUUGACGGGGGCCCGCACAAGCGGUGGAGCAUGUGGUUUAAU